GACGAACGCUGGCGGCGUGCUUAACACAUGCAAGUCGAACGGUGAACUCCGCUUGCGGGGGGAUCAGUGGCGAACGGGUGAGUAACACGUGGGCAACCUGCCCUCAGCUCUGGGAUAACUCCAAGAAAUUGGGGCUAAUACCGGAUAUGACCGCUGACCGCAUGGUCUGGUGGUGGAAAGAUUUAUCGGCUGGGGAUGGGCCCGCGGCCUAUCAGCUUGUUGGUGGGGUAGUGGCCUACCAAGGCGACGACGGGUAGCCGGCCUGAGAGGGUGACCGGCCACACUGGGACUGAGACACGGCCCAGACUCCUACGGGAGGCAGCAGUGGGGAAUAUUGCGCAAUGGGCGAAAGCCUGACGCAGCGACGCCGCGUGGGGGAUGACGGCCUUCGGGUUGUAAACCUCCUUCAGCAGGGACGAAGCGAAAGUGACGGUACCUGCAGAAGAAGCACCGGCCAACUACGUG
This 465-nucleotide ribosomal RNA is filed under the name uncultured bacterium. Its description in RNAcentral is "partial 16S ribosomal RNA". It matches the Rfam family "Bacterial small subunit ribosomal RNA", at positions 28 to 507 of the family's 1533-position model. The record is from RNAcentral.